AGUCUUGGCCCCACCGGUCACGACCCCGCUCACGGAGUCUGCGCAGGCGCCGUCGCGGGGCGUGGAGAAGCUGCUCCCUUGGGAUAAGGCCCGCGGGGAAUACUUGGAACCUUGACACCGCUGUAGUCUGCUCUCGCCGCGCUGGGUUUUAGGAGCCGUAACGACAAUAAUCGUGUCCACCAUUCUCACUACAGGCCCCGAAGCACGUAGGUGCCGUUUUUUAUCCCAACUUAACUGAAGAAAAAAAAAACACGGCCGGGCGCGGUGGCUCAAGCCUGUAAUCCCAGCACGUUGGGAGGCCAAGGCGGGCAGAUUACAUGAGACCAGGCGUUCAAGACCAGCCUGGCCAACAUGGUGAAACCUCGUCUCUACUAAAAAUACAAAUAUAUUAGCCGGGCGUGGUGGCGGGCGCCUGUAAUCCUAGCUGCUUGGGAGGCUGAGGCAGAGAAUUGCUUGAACCCUGGAGGCGGAGGUUGCAGUGAGUGGAGAUGGCGCCACUGCACUCCCGUCUGGGGGAGAGAGAGAGAGAGACUCUUGUCUCAAAAAAAAAAAAAGGACUUGUCCUCCAAUGUCAAUAACAACAAACUAGACAAAUAAAACUUCGAGGGCAUUAAGGCAAUAUGGUGUUAUGCCACAAACAGAAGGCACAGCUAACGGCCAGUAGCUGAGACGCCACCUCUGCCACAGGUCAGCUAUGUGACCCACGUGCAAAUCUCAUCACUUCCUGUCUGGUUCUGCUUCUGUGGAUGUAGAAUGGGGCAAUCAAUGGCUGUCUUGCUCAAUUGGCCAGACAUUUAAUGUGUCAACCACCCAGGCCCAACAUGUUGUGAGUUCAUGUACACCGACCAUUUUGCUAUUUCUUUUCUAUAUGUCACUUUUUUUUUUUUUUUGGUUGUUUUUUGAUACAGGGUCUUGUGUCACCCAGGCUGGAGUGCAAUGGCGCAAUCAUAGCACACUGAAGCCUUGACAACCCCAGCUCAAGCGAUCCACCCCCGUCAGCCUCCCAAGUAGUAGGCAACACAGAUGUGUGCGACUACGCCCAGCUAAUUUUUUUUUUUUGUGGAGACAAGGUCUCUCCAUGUUGCCUAGGCUGGUCUUGAACUCCUGGGCUCAAGCGAUCUUCCCCCUUCGACCUCCCAAAGCGUUAGGAUUAUGUAAAAGCAUGAGUCACUGCGCCCACCUGUCACAUCUUUUUGUUUCUUCUAUACUGCCUUAUUUUGUAGAAAGUAGCUAUUUUCUCGUAUAACAUUAAUUCCUUUAUUUUUAACUUGUCCCUCAUCUCUGUUUUGUGUUAUUAUUACCCUUAUUAUCUAUGUUACAAACCCAACCAUACAGUGUUAAUCUUGUUUUAAAAAGCUGAGAAAAAAUAUAUAGUUACAGAGUUUUUUUAACCUUCUAAUUUGCCACUUAUACUUCUGUUGAUUCCUUUGUGUAGAUUAGAGUUACACAAUUUAUUGCUAAAGAAAAUAAAUAUGGUCAAAAGUCACCAGUGUCCUCAUUCACUGUAGCUUGCUGCAACAGAAUUUACCCUACACUUCCAUAAGACAUCUGACAUUUGCACAGGGCUUCAUAAGGUCCAAAGUACUUUCGUUGUCUGUGGUUUAAUCUCACAAAACCCAUAGUCCUUUGUGAGCAAAUGCAAGGCAGUGUCUUACUGACCAGAAAACCACCCUGGAUUAACAAAAGAAUGCCUCCUUUCCUCUUCACUUUCUGAGCAACUGGGGCCCUGCUCUGGCAGCAGAAUGUUCUCUUUUUUAUUUUUUGUAGAGAUGGGAUCUCACUGUGCUGCCCAGGCUGGUCUUGAACUCCUGGCCUCAAGUGAUCCUCCUGCUCUGGACUCCGAGAGUCCUGGGAUCACAAGUCUGAGCCACUGCAGCUGGCCCAGAACGUUCUUCUGAAACAAUUAUAAAUUUGUUUCAAAAUACACUAGGCCUUUCGGGUCAGGCUGUACUACUUUUCAUAGGUUAGGUCAGCCCUAACUCGUCCACACCAACUUGUAUCUGAGUUUUCCAUAGCCACUUUUUUUUUUUUUUUUCUUUGAGAUGGAGUCUCACUCUAUCGCCCAGGCUGGAGUGCAGUGGCACCAGGUCGGCUCACUGCAACCUCCGUCUCUUGGAUUCAAGCAAUUCUCCUGCCUCAGCCUCCCAAGUAGCUGGGAUUACAGGUGCCCACCACCACGCCUGGCUAAUUUUUAUAUUUUUAGUAGAGAUAGGGUUUCACCAUGUUGGCCAGGCUGGUCUCAAACUCCUGACCUAAGGUGAUCCACCCGCCUCGGCCUCCCAAAGUGCUAGGACUACAGGCAUGAGCCACCACGCCCAGCCUCUUGGCCACUUUUUAUACCAAGAUCAAGUUGCUCGGGGUUUGAGGAGGGAAUGGGGCAGAGGAAUAUAUAUGUGUCAUGUGCUGUGACAGUGGUCCCAGAAAAUUAUGAUACUGUUUUUAUUGUACUGUUUCUUUUCUUUGACAGAGUCUUGCCCUGUCACCCAGGCUGGAGUGCAGUGGCACCAUCUUGGCUCACUACAACCUCCACCUCCUGGGUUCAAACAAUUCUCAUGCCUCUGCCUCCCAAGUAGUUGGGAUUACAGGCGUGUGCCACCAUGUCUGGCUAAUUUUUGUAUUUUUUGUAGUGAUGGGGUUUUCCCAUGGUGGCCAGGCUGGUCUCGAACUCCUGACCUCAAGUGAUCUGCCUGCCUUGGCCUCCCAAAGUGUUGGGAUUAAAGGCGUAAGCCACCAGUCCCGGCCCACUAUACUUUUUCUAUGUUUGGGUAAAUUUAGAUACACAAAUACCACUGUGUUACAGUUGCCUAAGAUAUUUAGUAUAGUAACAUGCUGUACUGGUUUGUAGCCUAGGAGCAAUAGGCUAUACCAUAUACUAUAUAGCAAUAGCCUAGGCGUGGUAGUAGGCUAUACUGUCUAGGUUUGUGUGAGUGUACGCUAUGGAUGUUCACACAACACUGGUAUCACCUAACAAUGUUAUUUCUCAGAACGUGUCGCUGUGAUGCAUGGCCAUGUAUUUCCUCAAUAUUAACCCUUCCUUGCAGCCAGAGAGAACUAAUGCUUAUUAAUUUUGAUUUUUUUUUUUUUUUUCCGAGACGGAGUCUUGCUCUGUUGCCCAGGCUGGAGUGCAGUGGUGCAACCUCAGCUCACUGCAACCUCUGCCUCCCAGGUUCAAAAGAUUCUUCUGCCUCAGUCUCCCAAGUAGCUGGGACUAUAGAUGUACACCACCAUGCCCAGCUAAUUUUUGGAUUUUUUUUUUCUUGAGACGGAGUUUCACUCUUGUUGCCCAGGCUGGAGUGCAAUGGCACGACCUCGGCUCACCGCAACCUCCGCCUCCUGGGUUCAAGCGAUUCUCCUGCCUCAGUCUCCCCGAGUAGCUGGGAUUACAGGCACAUGCCACCACACCUGGCUAGUUUUGUAUUUUUAGUAGAGACGGGGUUUCUCCAUGUUGGUCAGGCUGGUCUCAAACUCCCAACCUCAGGUGAUCUGCCCACCUCAGCCUCCCAAAGUCCUGGGAUUACAGGCGUGAGCCACCACAUCCAGCCUAAUUUUUGUGUUUUUAGUAGAGAUGGGGUUUCACCAUGUUGGCAGUGCUUAUUAAUUUUGAAAGCUUGCAAGCUUUUACUUACAAAACAGGACAUGCCUAACAACACAAGAUAGCAGAUUAUGCAGAAGAAAAGGGCAGGCCCUUGGCCUGGGUACUCUGGACAGUGGUGUUUCUGUUCUUGGAGACUGUAUCAUCACCACAGAAUGGGCUUUCUAGAAAUGGGCAUUCAUCCCUUGCAUCAGAUAAAGCAGUGUAUAUUCUCAUCUCCCCAGGCCAGCUAAAGAAUGUUCUUGAGGCAUCAGGCGCGGUAAUUCUCACCUGUAAUCCCAGCACUUUGGGAGGCUAAGGUGAGAGGAUUGCUUAAGUCCAGGAGUUGGAGAUCAGCCUGGGCAACAUAGUGAGAUGUCAACUCUACAAAAAAUAAAAUACAAAAAACAUUAGCUGGGCAUGGUAGUGCAUGCCUGUAGUCCUAGCUACUUGGAGGGCUUAGGCAGGAGGAUCACUUGAGCCCAGAAGGUUGAGGCUACAGUGAUACAGUGAGCUAAGGUUGUGCCACUGUACUCCAGCCUGGGGGACAGAGCAAGACCCUGUCUCUAAAAAAACCAAAAAGAAAAAGAAUAUUUCAAAUCUGCCCUAACUGCUCUCCUUCAGUUUCCCAAUUGGUGCAGGUACCUGGAACUAAAUCAAAACAAAGGUUGGGGGCUCUAUGCAAACAGUCCUCACAGGAUAGGAAGCUCCAGGAAGGGUGAGUGAUGGAGAGGGGUGGGCACCUCUGGGCAGCAGCCCCCUGCCCAGGGCACCUCAGUCACAGGGUGGGAGCACUGUGCAGAGAAGGGGUCCCUGAGGGUAGGAAAGAUUCACCUGCAGCUUCCACACCUUCAGGGCAGAUGCGACAGCUCACUACAGCCAAACAAAACUGAGGUCACAACUCUUGCAGAGCACUGUUGAUAUUCACAAUAGCCAAAAAGCAGAAACAACCCAAAUGUCCAUCAACCGAUGAAUGGAUAUUUUAAAAAUGUGAUCCAUCCAAACAGUAGAGUAUUAUGUGGCUAUAAAAAGUAAUGAAGCACCACCGGACACGGUGGCUCAUGCCUGUAAUCCCAGCACUUUGGGAGGCCAAGGCAGGUGGAUCACCUGAGGUCAGGAGUUCAAGACCAGCCUGACUAACAUGGUGAAACCCCCGUCUCUACCAAAAAUACAAAAAAAUUAGCUGGGCAUGGUGGUGUAUGCCUGUAAUCCCAGCUACUCGGGAGGCUGAGGCAGGAGAAUUGCUUGAACCCAGGAUACAGAGGUUGCAGUGAGCCAAGAUUGCGCCACUGCACUUCAGCCUGGGAGACGAGCGAAACUCCAUGUCAAAAAAAAAAAGUAAUGAAGUACUGAUACAUGCCACGACACAGGUGAGCACUGGAGAAUUAUGCUAAGGAAAGAAGCCAGUCGUAAAAGGCCACAUAUUAUGAUUCCAUUUAUACGAAAUGUCUAGGACAGGAGAAUCCCUGGAGACAGAAGGCAGGUUAAUGGAUGUCCACAGUUUGAGAGGCAGGACAAGUGUGUAGAUUCUGGGAGUGAUGGCUAAGGCGUGUGGGCUUUAUUUAGGGAAUGAAAAUAUUCUAGAAUUGAUUGUGGUGACGAUAGCACAACAUUGUGAAUAUGCUAUGCUAAACACCACCGAAUUGUAUGCUUACAAAUGGUGAAGUUUGUCAAGUGAAUUGUAUCUCAGUCAUUUUUUAAACAUUAAAAAAGAAAUCAGAUAACAUGCCUGAGCUGACACACUAGUUAUUACUUUCCUCUACGAAUAAAAUGGGAUUGGAGUUUGCUUGUUCACUUUUUUUUCUCUUUCCUUUUAUCCCCUCCCUGCGCACCAUGCUCUUCUCCAAAGCUGCUGCAGUAAACCCAGCACUUGCAGGAUGGGGGUGUGAUCUCACCAGAGUAAUUAACAUUGACUUCCUAAUGCUGAGACCAAGGCUGUGUGGCAGGCAGGGUUCUUAGCUGCAAACCAGAGCAUGAAACUGGCUGAGUUAGCAGAAAUGGAAUUUACCAAAAAGAUGGUUCAGAGCUUAGAGAAUUGCUGAGAAGGUGGAAAGCUGAAGCACAGAAAAUGCAGGGAGAGUUUGGAAAAAAAAUCUCAACACUCAUAUGAUCGUCAAAGGUUGUUUUUAGCCUAGAUUCCAAAGGUUAAAGCAACUGGCUUUUUAAUCAUUAAACAGGCUGGGUGCAGUAGCUCACACCUGUAAUCCUAGCACUUUGGGAGGCUGAGGUGGGGUAAUCACUUGAGACCAGGAAUUCAAGACCUACCUGGUGAAGCCCCCAUAUCUACCACAAAUACAAAAAUUAGCCAGGCAUGGUGGUGUGUGCCUGUAAUCCCGGCUACUCGGGAGACUGAGGUGGGAGGAUCGCUUGAGCCCGGUAGGCAAAGGUUGCAGUGAGCCAAGAUCAUGACAUUGCACUCCAGCCUGGGCUACAGAGUGAGACACUGUCUGAUCUCAGUAACCUCCACCUCCCGGGUUCAAGCGAUUCUCCUUGCCUCAGCCUCCCAAGUAACUGGGAUUACAGGCACCCGCCACCACACCCGGCGAAUUUUUGUAUUUUUAAUAGACAUGGGGUUUCACCAUGUUGACCAGGCUAGUCUUGAACUCCUGACCUAAAGUGAGCCUCCCGUCUCGGCCUCCCAAAAUGCUGGGAUUACAGGUGUGAGCCAUUGUGCCUGGCCCAGAGACAACUUUUUAUUAUCUAUUCUCCCUGGAAGAAGAGGAUAUAAGGAGUUUGGGAGAAAUUACAUGGAAGGAAAAAAUGUAACAACCAUCAUCAGACUAGGGAAACUCAGCAGAAUAACAUUACCAUUUCAUUCUACAGCAAACAUCACCCUAACACACGAUUAUUUUUGCAGUUAAGAUGCACCCCUGAGGCCGGGCGCGGUGGCUCAACGUAGUCCCAGCUACUCGGGAGGCAGGAGAAUGGCGUGAGCCCGGGAGGCGGAGCUUGCAGUGAGCCGAGAUCGUGCCACUGCACUCCAGCCUGGGCGACAGAGCGAGACUCCAUCUCAAAAAAAAAAAAAAAAAAAGAAAGAUACACUCCUGGGUCGGGCGCGGUGGCUCACGCCUGUAAUCCCAGCACUUUGGGAGGCCGAGGCGGGCAGAUCACGAGGUCAGGAGAUGGAGACCAUCCUGGCUAACGCGGUGAAACCAUCUCUACUAAAAAUACAAAAAGGAAAAAAAAAAUUAGCCGGGCGUGGUGGUAGUCGCCUAUAGUUCCAGCUACUCAGGAGGCUGAGGCAGGAGAAUGGCAUGAACCCGGGAGGCGGAGCUUGCAGUGAGCUGAGAUCGUGCCAUUGCACUCCAGCCUGGGCGACAGAGCGAGAC
RNAcentral lists this long non-coding RNA (6900 nucleotides) under Homo sapiens (human). RNAcentral describes it as "non-protein coding lnc-SNN-1:4". The record is from RNAcentral. Lineage: Eukaryota; Metazoa; Chordata; Mammalia; Primates; Hominidae.